Molecule: ribosomal RNA, 253 nt
Filed under: uncultured bacterium
Lineage: Bacteria
Description: partial 16S ribosomal RNA
Rfam family: Bacterial small subunit ribosomal RNA
Source: RNAcentral
UACGUAGGGGGCUAGCGUUGUCCGGAUUUAUUGGGCGUAAAGAGCGUGUAGGCGGCCAUUUGGGUCCGGUGUGAAAGCUCGAGGCUUAACCUCGAGAUGUCAUCGGAAACCAUUUGGCUAGAGUCCGGAAGAGGAGAGUGGAAUUCCUGGUGUAGCGGUGAAAUGCGCAGAUAUCAGGAAGAACACCAAUGGCGAAGGCAGCUCGCUGGGACGGUACUGACGCUGAGGCGCGAAAGCGUGGGGAGCAAACAGG